GGUUCAAUGGUCUAGUCGGUUAUGACGUUUGCUUUACACGCAGAAGGUCCCCAGUUCGAUCCUGGGUUGAAUCA
Molecule: non-coding RNA, 74 nt
Organism: Geotrichum reessii
Lineage: Eukaryota; Fungi; Ascomycota; Dipodascomycetes; Dipodascales; Dipodascaceae
Source: the annotation of a GenBank genome assembly